RNAcentral lists this ribosomal RNA (321 nucleotides) under Triticum aestivum (bread wheat). RNAcentral's name for it is "partial small subunit ribosomal RNA". The record is from RNAcentral. Lineage: Eukaryota; Viridiplantae; Streptophyta; Magnoliopsida; Poales; Poaceae.
AUGCAACCAUUCGGCAUUAUGUGUCGUGGCUAUAAGAAGGGAAAAGAAUCCAGUGAAAAUCCAAAUCUUAAAUCCUUCUACAUCGAUGAUGAGUGCCCUUGGCGGAGAACGAGGGGAUGCGUCGGCGGGGAACACCAUGAUCCCCAGCGCGAACCUGACCGUCGGAGCGUCUACCGUCCACAAGGGCACAUGGAGGUGGUCAAUUUCUACCAACACCCAUGUCGAUCUGCCAGAUCUGGUCAAGCAAGGGUUCCUCCCUCCUUGGAACAUGCUCAUGUGGUCACCAGCAAAGAAGACAGAGGAUGUCCUGAUGCCGGCUAG